This is a non-coding RNA of Myotis daubentonii (Daubenton's bat), 652 nucleotides long. The record is from the annotation of a RefSeq genome assembly. NCBI's taxonomy places the organism in Eukaryota, Metazoa, Chordata, Mammalia, Chiroptera, Vespertilionidae.
GCCCAGCCUCAGGAUCCCCAGGUGUUCCCAUCCCCUGAUCAGGACUGAACACAGACCACUCACCAUGGGGUUCAAGCUCAGCUGGAUUUUCCUUAUGGCUUUUUUGAGAGGUGUCCAGUGUGAGGUCCAGCUGGUGGAGUCUGGGGGAGGCUUGGUGCAGCCUGCAGGGUCUCUGAGACUCUCCUGCGCAGCCUCUGGAUUCACCUUCAGUAGCUACUGGAUGGGUUGGGUCCACCAGGCUCCAGGGAAGGGGCUGGAGUGGUUAUGUCUAAUGAAUUCUGAUGAAAGUACCACAUACUAUGCCAACUCUGUGAAGGGCCAAUUCACCAUCUCCAGAGACAACGCCAAGAACAUGCUGUAUCUGCAAAUGAACACCCUGAUAGCCGAGGAAACGGCCAUGUAUUACUGUGCAAGAGACACAGUGAGGGGAAGUCAGUGUGAGCCCAGACACAAACUUUCCUGCAGCAGAGGCUGUGACCACAAGGGGGCCUCAGGGUCCCUGAAAACAAUGACCAUCCCAGUAGCAGGUGCAGUUGGAGGUUUGGUCUGGUUUCCUGUGUGGUUUCCCCUUCAUGUCACGGUUUCAGAAAACAUCUGGAUUCCUGACUCUGCACUUACCUUUGAGGUUUCUGAAUUAGAAAGUCUGUUGUAA